This 67-nucleotide transfer RNA is filed under the name pig gut metagenome. It matches the Rfam family "tRNA". From Rfam's summary of the family: Transfer RNA (tRNA) molecules are approximately 80 nucleotides in length. The record is from RNAcentral.
UGGUGUAGCUCAAUUGGCAGAGCAGCUGAUUUGUAAUCAGCAGGUUGAUGGUUCGAUUCCUUUCACC